RNAcentral lists this ribosomal RNA (327 nucleotides) under uncultured eukaryote. RNAcentral's name for it is "partial 18S ribosomal RNA". It matches the Rfam family "Eukaryotic small subunit ribosomal RNA", at positions 1470 to 1796 of the family's 1831-position model. The record is from RNAcentral.
CCCUUAGAUGUUCUGGGCCGCACACGCGCUACACUGAAGGAGGCAGCGUGUACUCCUGGAUCGAAAGAUUUGGGUAACCCGCGAAUCUCCUUCGUGCUAGGGAUUGAGGUUUGCAAUUAUCCUUCAUGAACGAGGAAUUCCCAGUAAGUGCAAGUCAUAAGCUUGCGCUGACUACGUCCCUGCCCUUUGUACACACCGCCCGUCGCUACUACCGAUUGAAUGAUUUAGUGAGGACUUCGGACUGGGGCCGAUGCGGCUUUCGGGCUGCGUCGGUAUUCUGGAAAGAUGUCCAAACUGUNUNAUUUAGNGGAAGUAAAANUCGUANCA